UGAUGACGAGACGCUAAGGCGUUGAAGCAGUGUAUGUCAGACUUCCAAGAAAAGCUCGCAAUGUCACAAAUAAAAAGUGCCUGUACCAUAACCGACACAGGUGGGUAGGUAGAGUAUACUAAGGGGCGCGAGAUAACUCUCUCUAAGGAACUCGGCAAAAUGACUCCGUAACUUCGGGAGAAGGAGUGCCUUAUUUAUAAGGUUGCAAUAACAAGAUCCAAGCAACUGUUUAUCAGAAACACAGGUCUCCGCUAAGUCGUAAGACGAUGUAUGGGGGCUGACGCCUGCCCAGUGCCAGAAGGUUAAAGAAGUUGGUUAGUGUAUGCGAAGCUGAUGACUGAAGCCCUGGUGAACGGCGGCCGUAACUAUAACGGUCCUAAGGUAGCGAAAUUCCUUGUCGGGUAAGUUCCGACCCGCACGAAAGGCGUAAUGAUUUGGAUACUGUCUCGGAGAGAGGCUCGGUGAAAUAGACUUGUCUGUGAAGAUGCGGACUACCUGCACCGGGACAGAAAGACCCUAUGAAGCUUUACUGUAACUUGAAAUUGGAAUUGGACUUUGCUUGCGCAGUAUAGGUGGGAAGCGUUGAAAAUAUUCUUGCGGGAGUAUUGGAGCUAUCAGUGAGAUACCACUCUUGUAAUGUUAGAUUUCUAACUUUGAACCAUAAUCUGGUCAAAGAACAGUUUCAGGUGGGCAGUUUGAUUGGGGCGGUCGCCUCCCAAAUGGUAACGGAGGCGUACAAAGGUUUCCUCUGAACGGAUAGAAAUCGUAUCUAGAGUGUAAAGGCAUAAGGAAGCUUGACUGUGUGACCUACAAGUCGAGCAGGGACGAAAGUCGGUCUUAGUGAUCUGACGGUACUGAGUGGAAAGGCCGUCACUCAACGGAUAAAAGUUACUCUAGGAUAACAGGCUGAUCUCCCCCAAGAGUUCACAUCGACGGGGAGGUUUGGCACCUCGAUGUCGGCUCAUCGCAUCCUGGGGCGGUAGUACGUCCCAAGGGUUGGGCUGUUCGCCCAUGAAAGCGGUACGCGAGCUGGGUUCAGAACGUCGUGAGACAGUUCGGUCCAUAUCCGGUGUAGGCGCUAGAAUAUUGAGAGGAGCCUUCUUUAGUACGAGAGGACCGAGAAGGACACACCGCUGGUGUACCAGUUAUCGUGCCAACGGUAAACGCUGGGUAGCUAUGUGUGGAGUGGAUAACCGCUGAAAGCAUCUAAGUGGGAAGCCCACCUCGAGAUGAG
Molecule: ribosomal RNA, 1234 nt
Filed under: metagenome
Description: bacterial LSU rRNA
Rfam family: Bacterial large subunit ribosomal RNA
Source: RNAcentral